Molecule: RNA transcript, 3530 nt
Organism: Oncorhynchus kisutch (coho salmon)
Lineage: Eukaryota; Metazoa; Chordata; Actinopteri; Salmoniformes; Salmonidae
Gene: fkbp7
Gene name: FKBP prolyl isomerase 7
Exons: 5
Source: RefSeq, a predicted model, not a curated record
UGAUGGUAAGAUUUUAAUUCAACAUUCAAAUGCUUGCACAUUUAGUAACAUUUAAGAUUCUAUGGCAAAAGUGAAUUUGUGUAAAUGACUGCUUAACUAACUAUGUGACAUACUUUCUCAAUUCCUUCCAGACAGUCCAGAUUGACUGGUGCCCAUGCUGAUGCUGAACAUGCCCAGGCUGUUGUCACACAGCUGUAUAGGUUUUAUUGGACUAUUUUGAGACAUAUAGCUGCAGCCAGAGCCUAUAGGCUUAUGUUUACAUUGUAUAGACACAGCUAAUUGUAUAAUAUUGUGAGGACUGGACUAAUUACCAGGCAGCAGAGCCAAAGCUCAGUGUUACAUUUGAUUAUUUUCUACAUUUGAUAUUUUCUACAAUUUCUUAUUUAUGUUAAUAUUCACUUAUCUUAAGAUUCUAUAGGAAAUAUUUAAUUCAAUAAAUAUGGAUUGCUUAUACCUCAUUCUGUUCUGUAUAGGUCGACUUAUUCUUAAACCGACAGAUGGAGAAAAACGUUUUAAAGGAGGGAGGAUUGUAAUGUGAGCACUGGAGUCUCAGGUGUGACUGUGUGGAAAUGGCAAAUGGUUUACAUGGCUCACGGGUCAGGUAGGAGGGCCCCUUAGCAGAAUUUUGCUUAGGACCCCAGGGAGGUCAGGACCGCCCGUCUCUGUUGGUACCUUAGUUGUUGUGCUUACUAACAUGAUAAUUUACUGAACAGCUAAGGUAGCAUAUUGACAUGCAUAUUGGUAUUAAAAGACAACAAUGUCGUCAACAACAAAUAUGUGUUUAAAAUAUCCAGAAAAUCAUUAGUUUGAUAGCUAGCUGUCCAAUUAAAUAUGCAAAAAUAUGAUCGCUAAAGUGAGCCAGCUAGCCAGUCAGUGGCAAUGACAGGUUGGUUGAAACUGAUACAGCAACAACAUGUGUUUCACUCUAUCCCAUAAAACAUGACAUAUCUAACCAGGCAUCAAUUAGCCAACACAAUUUAAAGUUUAUUAGGACCUUAAAUCAAUAAGUUAGACACUCACCGGACAACUUUGGAGCUAGGUAGAUUUUCAACAGAUUUUUCUUCUCCCCUUGACUGGUAGUCAACUGUUACUGGUCUUGGAACUUGUGUGUUCACCAGAAACAACUUCUGUUAAACUCUUUGCCACUAGUAGCAAUACAUAUUGUUGCCACAGGUUUACCACAGAUUAAAAUAGAAUUUCGGGAGAUUUGUUUGUCAGAAAAAAAUCUCUGGCAAACUGUUUGCCACUAGCUGCAAUGCAUAUUAUUGUUGCCAAAGGUUUGCUGCAAAUGUACCACUUCUGGCAACAUUUUGUGGCACACGAUGUAGUUUGUAGAAAAUUUGCCACAAACUUGCGGGAAGUUUGCAACUACACAUUCAUUUUUGUAAGGGCAGAGAGAGGCUAGGCAGGCCUAGAGAUAUAUAAUCACUCAUGUUGUCUCAUGUGCAGAGGCUGUAAGACAGAUUGGUGGAACUAUUAGGUGGACUGAUGGAGCUACCAUGGCUGCUCCUGUAGUAAGUGGACCUACUGUCAGAACUGGUGCUUCUACUAGUCCUGACAUGGUUUCGAGACCUGUUCAGAAAUCUUGCUCCCAUAAAUGUGCUGCGUCAAAGGACACUUUAUAGUAAAACACAUUUACUUCAUAGCUUUCAUUGGAAAGGUUAUCAACAGGACUCGGAUUGUGGAAAGCAUAAAUGCCAGGUUAAAGAUUUGUGUGGAUAUGAUAAGAGAGUUAUUAGGGGUAACAGAUGUUACUGUCAACAUGAUUUUUGAAAUGUUGAAUAAUCCUAAGGAUGGAAUGUCUCAGCAUGAUAGAGGGAACAUUUGAAGAGGUUGGGAGGGUUUGGGGGAUGGGGAGGGUAGUUAAUAGGGAUUUAUUUGUUUAGUAUUACAGAAUAGAGUACCACAGUAUGAGUCAAAAUACCCAUAAAACCUAGCAGUCAAACAGGGAAAUGCUUCCAAUCAUUUUCCCAACAUUCAUUCUUUCCAUAGGGGAUUUUAUAAACACUUAAAAAUAAGGUCUUGUUUCAUGUAGUCUUACCGUGGCAUGAUGUUUUGAUGACCAUGUAAAUCUCUCUAGGACAAGGUGACUUUUUCAAAAUAUUCGUUCGCCUGUAUUUACCCCCCCAAAAUUAGACGCUAAUUAUCUGCUAAUGUAACUAUCAUAAAGAUCUACAAAUGCCAUGAUGAUCUGAAUAAGACAGCUGAAUCGACACAAUACCUGUUAGCAAAGGUGUCAAUUAAAGAAGAAGUGCAGGAGCUUGCACAGAUUUGAGAGAGAUUUACACUCUUAUUAUAAUGUCACGCCAGGGUAAGCCUACACGAAAUACAGUCCUUUUUUAAAGUUGUUCUAAAAUCACCUAUGGGAAAAAUGAAUGGUGUAAAAACGACUGGAACCAUUUCUCUGUUUGACCGCUAGGUUUUAUGGAUAUUAUGACACAACUGUGGGGCUCUAUUAGGCAAACCAUGAUUGAUCGUACACUCCAAAACAGUAGGUGGCGGCAUGCACGUAAAUGUUUCUUUACGGACCGCCAUUAUACCAUAGAAGAAGAAGAAGAAGAAGAAGAAGAAGAAGAAGAUCGUCACUUGCAUACCAGAAGUGACGUGUUUUGCGCUCCUAGCGAAACUUUGGUGCCACGCAUACAGUUUGUUGACAUGAUGAUGAUGAUGAUGAUGAUGCCGAAAUCUCUUGUGCUUAACUUAUUUUUAUGUCUACAGAUUUAUAAUGUCAUUGUUGAUGUUACAGUUGCAGUUGCGUCAAUCGAUGAUGUGAAGAUAGAGGUGUUAUUCACGCCAGAGGACUGCUCAAAAAAGAGCAAAAAGGGAGACCUAAUGAAUGCACACUACGAUGGGUAUCUUGCUAAAGACGGUUCUCAGUUCUACUGUAGCCGCUCAGACAAAGCUGGACAUCCUCAGUGGUUUGUGUUGGGAGUCGGACAAAUCAUCAAGGGCCUGGACAUGGCAUUGAAUGACAUGUGUGCUGGGGAGAAACGCAAAGUCACUGUUCCACCUGAGCUAGCCUUUGGAGAAAAAGGAAAAGCAGUUUCUUUGAAGGAUUUCCUCCCCUGACAGUGUACACCGCACUGCUUCCUCUUGGCAUGUCCUGUCCCACCCAAUGCUACAUUGAUCUUCGAUGUGGAGCUCUACUCUGUGUCCAAAGGGCCACGCAGCCUGGAGUCCUUCAGAGAUAUAGACCUGGAUGACGACAAGGUUCUCACUAGGGAUGAGAUGACAUUCUACUUCAAGGUGGAGUAUGAGAGAGAUGGUAGUAAACCUCGUGAAGACUCCUUCUAUGAGAGAAUGGUGAAUGAUGUGUUCCAGAAGAGUGACCACGAUAGAGAUGGAUUGAUAACGGUGAAGGAAUACAAUAUCUAUGAACAUGAUGAGCUCUAGGACCCACCAAAGGCUGCACUGACUUACAGUAUGAGGGUACAUUUGUUAUUGUUUUUUAACACACUACAAACAUCAGUGGAUAUUCCACAAAUGCUGAUUUGGCUGCAGAGUUUGACUAAUAAAACCACUAAAUUGUA